AAUCAAGAGGAUUCUUUGGUUUGGGCUUUGGUGCCUCCUCCUCCUCAGCUGCCUCUGCCUUUGCUGCCUGUUUCUCAACCUCCUUUUUGGCUUCUUUCUUUGGUUCAGCCUUUGGUUUAGUUUCUUUUGGCUGGGCAGCAGGCUUCUUUGAAGGAACAGGUGGUAGAGAGACUGCCUGCUUCACUUCACCAAGAAUCUUCUUGAUUUUUGGCUGAUUAACCAAGGUCCAAAAGUACCUCUCAACAUGAGGGAACUCCGAGGUAAAACUCUUAGUCAUGAUCUGGGAGAAACCCAAGUAGAGGUUACAUGUCAUGAUAAUGUCAGCAAGGGUGACAAAAUGUCCAACAAGAAAUGUGUUGGAAGCAAGAUGAGUGUUCAAAGCGCCAAGGGCUCUCUUCAAUGCAGCAAUAGCAGCUUCCUCAGCCUACAUGCAAAAUACAUAUAAGAGAUUAAAAUGAAAUAGGUAGGCAAAAUCAUACCAUUGAAUUAAAAUGAACUACUACUGAAUUACAAAAAUAAAAUUUAACUCUUAAUAUAGAUUAAUAAAUACAUCAGAAUGGGGGAGAAAACAACCUAGUCUCUUAAAAAAAUAAUGAGGAGAAAACCCAUGCCUACUUGAUUAUCAAUGCAAUGGGCAUUCCCUUCAACCAAAAUUACUUAAUAGUGCUUGAGUUGAUUCCUUUCCAGAAACUAUGCAGGGGAAAACACUACCACAUUAAGCAUGUACUAAAUGUUGUCUAACUAAUCCUCUCUAAAAUAAAUAAAACAAGAAUCAUAGACAGGUAAUCAAUGCCAAUUUUCCCUUCACCAUUCCCUCCUUAAUAUUUUGUAUUUCAAUGACUAAGUUGCCUUAUUCCAAUUUUAACAUAGGACCUAUUGUCUUAUAAUUAGAAAGAAACAAAGACUAAGUAUGGCCCCAGCAAAUCAAGCCCAAUUAAAAUGACAAAAGAAUCUGCGAGGAAAGACAGUAGAACUUACUGGAGGAAGGUAAACACCGUAACCAAGUCUUGGAUACAACCAUUUUGCAAUAUUAGCAUCAAUUUCCAUGGCUGCAAAAUCAAUCCAUUGCUCGAUAUGACCCUAAGAAAGCCAAAGUAAUACAUACAAACAAUUACUUCCAUGGUUUAAAAUAAACUUAACUGAUGACAGAAGAAUACAAGACCAUUGUACUAUAAGAAUCUUACAUAAUCAAUCAAUGUAGAACCACAUAUAGGGUUGUUAACCUUUGAGCGAGCAACUGCAGAGAAAAGUAUACCAAUAAGUAAAAACAAACAUUAGAGGAAGAAAAUUUAGGAUAUGGAGUCAGCAGAUCUUCUCACCAUAACGAGCAAUGGCAUUGCUCUCAAAUACAGGACCCUCAGGUGUUUCCAACACAGGAACCUAGAAGAGUUAUAAAUAUCUUCAGUGAACAGACCUAGAAAAAAGGUUACAUAACAUGUAUAAAAAAAAUUCUCUAGUUUAAAUCUAUUAAUAGGCGUUACAAGGUCACCUUCCCCAAAGGGUUCAUCUUGAUGAACUCAGGAGUCUUAUUUGACACACCCAUCUCAAAAUUUUCAACCAUUUUGACCUGCACACCACUAUAUUCUGCAGCAAUGAGUGCCUUAAAGGCAUUUUUGUUUGUUUUUCCUGCAUGCAAGACCUGCAUGUAAAUCAACACACCACAUUGAUUAGAAGAACCGGUUGAUUAAGAAGUUGAAUUGAAUGUCAAACACCAGUCAAUCCCUACAACGAAUCCAGUAAAAUCCUGAAAUUGAUCCUUUUCGCCCCAUAAAUUCUCUUAAAGACCAUUCACUUUACAUUCUAAACUACUAACCGGUACUUAGCAUUUCCAUCUACCAUACACAAUUAACCUAAUUGACGUAACAUCUCGCCAUCCAUCUUUCUUCUGGUCAAUGGUUCCCAGUUGAAAUCGAAGGUGGUAGAGUUAAAAUCAAAAUCAAUUUUUUUAUCGUUAUGAUUAGUAUCUACAAAUCCAUAAACUAUUCCAUUGAUAGUAAUUAUAUAAAACAUAUUCAAUGUGCCACUUCUUUCGCAAUGUAAAAAAGCUAGUUACAAUUUUCACUUUCUAAUUCUACUCGAAAUAACUUCCACUUAAUCAUUAGGUGUCAAUUCUUUCAACAGUUAAACUACCAAAAGAAAUGAAACUAAUAUAUAUGCACAGAUAUAAAGCUUACCAGAGCCAUGGCUUGAUAGAAAAGAGCGCUACGAUUUGAGAACUGAGAUCUGGAAAAAAAAAAACAGAGAACAAAAUAAAAGGAAUAAGGAAAAAUAUUCAAGCAGGAGAACUUGAUUCCCAUGUAUUAAGGAGUAAAAAUGAGAGAAAGGAUUAAGAAAGAACCUUGAAGACGAAAUCGCAGCGAGAAGGAGCGGGAGAGACUGCGGGACAAAGAGAGAAUAAAAGAAAGGGGGACUAGGGUUUUUGUAGAGUAGAGCGAGUGUGAUGUGGGGUUAUCAGUUCGGGUUCCGGUUUAGAUCCAGAUUUACUAACCCCUUUCUUUUUCCGGUUUUUUUAAGCGUGUCUUUGAGGUAAUAAGUCAUUUCAAGAAUAAUUAAAUAAAAAUAAAUUAUAUAAAAAAUUCUCAUAACCAUUGAACCAUUGUUUUUCUCCAAUUUUCCUUUUCACAACAGUUUUGCUUUUUAUGUAAUUACACACAACUAAUUGAUCUGAAUCGAUUGGAUCACUAAUUUUUAAUUUAAUUGUUUAGAUCACUCUGAACAACACUACUUUUCUCAAAUUUUUUAUCUUGUGUCUAUUUUUUUUAUUACCAAUAUAAAUUAACUUGGAGUAUAAUGAUUUAUAUUUUUGCUCAUGCUUGAGGUUGUUUGUUUAGAUAAAAGUUAACUCAAGUGAGUUGUAUUUAAUUAAAAACUCUAUUGGUUUGAGUUCAAACAUUAUUAUAUGUGAAGUUUUAUUUUUUAAAAAGAUUAAACUACCCUCGAAUAAUCUAAUUUAUUUUAAAUAUGAAAAACAUUUUUGUAAUUUUUUGAGUUGAUGUCCGGUUAACUCGUAUCACUAACUCAACCAAGGGUUUAAAUAAUAGUAUAGAUUAUUGCAUUUUAAUUAAUUUUUAGAAGGAAUUAUUUCUAAAAAUAUGUUUUUUUGGUGCACCUCAAUAGUCAACACUAAUAACUCAUUUCCCUAAACUCUAGACCCCUAAUUUCAACAAAGUGUAUAAUUGUUGAAAUGUCCACUUGUUGGUCUAAGUGACAAACGCAAAGCACCAAGAUCAUUUUUUAUGCACUAAAUCAUCCACGGUGUUAUUAUAUUGGUUUACCUCAAAUCAAACAAUUUUUACUGAUCCCCAUUGUAACUACUACAAUAGAAAAUCUUACCCAUGCCCCUAAACCUAACAUUCAACUCGAUGAUUUUUGUUAAUCAUCGUGCUUAAACAAACCCAUAAAAAGUUUACAUGUAUAAUUGAAAAACCUUAACCUAUCUCCUUAAACCGUAAAUCCCCAUAGUUGUGGGUUGAGUAAGCUAGAAACCAUGGGGAUUUUUUGAACUUGGCAUCUCUUUCAAAUAACAUAAAAACCCUAACUUAUUUUCCUAAACCUUAACCCUAAAACUUUAAUCCCCAAACAAAACCUUAAACACUAAAUAGAAACAUUUAAUAAAUUCCCAUCAAAUUCUUUCCUCUAAGGGUUUUUAUGCAUCUCUAAUUUCAAUAAAAAGUAACCUCAACUCUCAAAUUCAGAUGCCUUUUGUGAUAAUGGAUUUCCUCAAGUGUUAGAGCGCCAAUUGAGUAUGAAAGCUUCUUUUAAACUAACUUUAAAUAGGCUUUAGGGUUUAUGAUAAACCUUGUUUAUGAUUAGUAUGAAAGAUUUCACUAUAUCAAAACAAUGUUUCAACACUUAUGGAAAACCAUGAUCUAAAUCAAGAGAGUUCAAGUUUUCCUUGAUUGAAGUUAGAUUUUGGUUGAAAUCAUUGAUCUAAAAGUGAUAGUAGCCAGAAUAGGUUGGAGGAAAUUAGUUUUAAAGGACUUUAUCAAAAUUUUAAUUUAGGGUUUAAGGUUUGAGGGGAAAAGGUAAAUAUUUAAGGGUUAAAAGAUUUUGGUUUGGGGUUAGAAGGAAAAGGUUAAGGUUCAACUCUUGUUCAUUAGGUAAAUUGACUACGAUCUUGACACCCAUGGGUUGUUCAGUUUUAGUAUUAAUAAAAUGCAAACAAAUACAUAACAAACAAUUCUUCAUCUUCCAAAAUCAAAGCUAACCACUAUUUAAAGAUAUUGAGUUUAGUACCCUAAAUGUAGUAUAUUUAUUUUGUAUAGUUGUAUUUUUCGAGAAAAUUGGUUUAAUAAAAAUAUUCAUUGAUUACAUUAAUAGCCUUUGUAUAUUAUCCUCAACGAUUUUGUAUGCAAAGAAAAAUGGAAACAAAGAUUGGCUCACUAGUUAUCUAACAUUUAACAAAUGCUAAAUGGUAUUACGUGGUCGGAUAGUAAUACAAAAAAACAACUUAUAUUAGUAGAUAAACCUAAAUAAGUCAUUAGUCUAAUUGGAAAUGAGCAAGCCGCUUUAAAGACUUAAGUCGUCUACCAAGUCCAAUUGGGGAGAUGCUUUGUCUUGAGCAUCAAAACGAAGGACUCCCAGAAGAUAGAGACAUAGAUGUCACUGACUGGACUGACAAUACAUUGGACAUGACCUAAGUAGGAUAGAUCCUAGAUUGUUUUAUGAAUUUAUUCACUUGAGACAUUCAUAGUGUGACAUACCUUAAUCCUGAGUGGAUGAUGGACUAUGCAUGUAUGACUCAUAUACUUUGAUGGAAGUAAAAGCCUAAAUUCAAAUAAAUAAGGAACCGAAAAAUCGGUAUAUUGCGUAUACGACUUCUACAACAUAUAGCAUCAUUCACAAUAGUGGAAUUCAUAGCUCAAAUAAUAAGUAAAUGAUAUCCUCUCAUUGGCAUUACAUGAUAGAUGAAAAGUAAACAUGGCCACGAGUCAUUUGUCUUUGUGAUAAAUGACUUGAUUACUAUUUAAUAGUACUAGGGACUGCAAACCCUAGUAUAUUUAACUAGGGUUGUCGCCCCGCCCUCCAAUCCUAGUUAGACUAGGAUUAUGUUUUUCUAUUGAAAUAGACUUCUAAUAAUUCAACAAGGGUUUCAAUUCUUCUCCCUAUAAAUAGAUGGAAACAGUAAGGCUAAAUACAAAACUUUGAGAUAUUGUUAUUCUGCCCGAAAAUAGUGAGAAUUUAUUUUCUAAGUAUAAAUUCUAUUUUCUAGAAUAACAAUUCUAUUGGUUUAUAUUAAAGAGAGAUUUUCUUUUCCACUAAAAGUAAAGUAAAUAAUUUAUGGUUCUGUGCUUUAUUUGAAUUUGUUCGAGCCCACAAUCGAAGUAGUUCGUGGUACAGGAAUAACAAAGAAGGCCAUUCGAUUGAAAGCCAAGAAUGACAAGGACCCGUUUAGUCGAAAGCAUAAGUGCAAUUUCUGUAAAGGUUUUAUUGAUAUAACUAUCACAAAUCGGUUUGAUUUUCAAAAUUUAAAUUUUUCACUGGGCAAAAAAACUGUUUUCAAAUCAAUUUUUUUCCAACUUUCAUAUUAACCAAGAAAUAAUAACUAGACUUAUGAAAGAUGAUACCUUAAGUUUGCUUAAGGAAAUUGAUAUUCCACAAUAUGAAUAUUGCUUGGAAGGUAAGAUGACUAAGUGAUCUUUUAAUGCAAAAGGAAUGAGGGUUGUGAAAUCUUAGAACUUGUGCACACUGAUAUAUGUGGCCCUAAGAACGUCAGUGUGCGAGGUGAUUAUGAUUACUACAUAACAUUUAUAGAUGACUAUUCCAGAUAUAGGUAUGUAUACCUAAAGCACCGUAAAAGUGAAACUUUUGAUAAAUUAAAAGAGUUUCGUGCAGAAGUGGAGAAAGAACUAGGUUUACCCAUAAAGACACUUCGGUUUAAUCAAGGUGGAGAAUACUUAUUGGAUGAGUUCUUUGGUUACCUCAUAGAGAAUGUAAUAUUAUCUUAAUUAACCGCGCCAGGAACCACACAACAAAAUGACAUGGCAGAGAAAAGGAAUCGAACCUUGUUGGACAUGGUUCAAUUGAUGUUAAGUUAUUCAUAGCUUCGAGUCUCCUUUUAGAGAUAUGUUUUACAAAUGACUUGCUACAUUUUGAAUGAUGUACCAACUAAGUUUGUACCUAAAACUCCAUACGAAAUAUGGAAUGGCAGGAAGCCAAGUCUAAAUCAUUUAAGGAUUUGGCGAUGGCCAGCCCACGUGUUGGAUAAAGAUGUGAGGAAAUUGGAUUCACAGAUAAAGUUGUGUAUGUUUGUGAGAUAUCCAAAAGUAAUAAAGGGUGGUUUGUUUUAUAACUCGAAAGAGAAAAUAUUGAUAGUGUCGAUUUAUGCUCCUUCAUUGAGAGGAGUUAUACGAACGACUUUAAAUCUUGAAGUAAAGAAGUACUUGAUGAACUUUGAGGAAGUACACAAAUCCUUGGUUUUAAAUCCAACUUCUAAUAAUAGACUUGUAAACAAUCAUCAACAUAAGGAGCUUCAUUGUAGUGAGAAGGUUUCUCGUAAGCCCGAGUUCUUCUAGUCUAGCAGAAGUGUUUUAAACACUGAGUUUUUUGAACAGGAAGAUGAUGACCAACUCACAUUUAAAAAAAUGAUGCUGAAUGCUGAUUCCAAGCUUUGGGAAAUAACUAUAAAAUCUGAGAUGAAUUCUAUGAAAUCCAGCUAAAUGGAUAUACAAGAAGAAAAGAAUGUGAAUGGAAAGUGGAAACUUAUAAGGCUAAACUUGUAGCAAAGGGGUAUACUCAGAAAGAAGGUAUCGAUUACGAAGAAGCCUUCUUUUUGGUUUCCAUACUCAAGUCAAUCUGUAUAUUGUUAUCCAUUGCGACGACUCUUAAUUAUGGAUCUGUCAAAUGGAUGCCAAGCCGAUAUUCUUUAAUGACUAUCUUGAAGAAGACACUUAUAUGAUGCAACCCACUCGAUAUAUAGCUAAAGGAAAUUAGCAUAAAAUUUACAAAUUGCUUAGAUUCAUAUAUGGACUUAAGCGAGCAUCCCGCUCAUGGAAUCAAAUAUUUGAUCAAAUGAUCAAAACUUUUGAAUUUGAGCAAAAUAUUGAUAAACUUUCUGUUUAUAAACAUAUUAAGGAUGGAAAGAUGGUUUUUCUUAUUGUAUAUGUCGAUGACAUUCUACUCAUUGGAAAUGAUUUAAGUACAUUGUCAUCGGUUAAAUUGUGAUUAACCCAACAGUUUAGCUUGAAGGACUUAAGAGAAGCUAUCUUUGUUCUAGGCAUUCGAAUUCUAAGGGAUAGAAAGAACAAAGUGAUAGCAUUAUCACUAGGUAUAUACAUAGACAAGAUAUUGAAAAUUUAUACGAUAACUGAUUCAAAAUUUAGUCAUUAUACUAUAGUGGAAUAACUUCACGACCAAAUAAGUUUAUAAUUAAUAGACGAAAAGUUGGACAUUAAUUAUAAAUUAUUUAAGCCCUAAUUACGUAUGUACAAUUGGUCCCCCCACUAGCUCGUUGAAAAAAAAAUUAAUUGCAUGUGGAACAAAAUGAAUAGAAAUGAAUGGAAAUGAUAAUGUCAGAGAAAUGAGUCACAUUAACAAAUUAAUGUGUUUUCUCACCAGGUAUAGAAAUGAAUUGAGAAAUUAAUUUAAGGUUUUCGAAUGAUUAUUUAAUUAAUUAUAAUUAAAUAAUUGAAGUUAAAAAAUGAAAUGAAAUUAAUUUUCUAUUAUGAAUGCUUUGAAUAAUGAAAUUAAAUAUACUUCCUCAUAAAAUCUUUUACAAUAAAGUUGUUAUAACUUUAACGGAAUUAGAAUUGAGUUGAGAUAAUUAUUUAAUUGAGUAAUUAAUUUAGUUAAUUAAAUUAAUUAAUUAAAUAAUAUUUAUUUUUGAAAAUAGAAAAUAAACAUUAGGUUGGAUUAAAUCAUAAAAUGCUAGGUUAAAAGUUUAGGAAACUCAUAUAAUUGAACCCAAUACAUGAGAGGUCAAAUUUGUCCCGUAUAACAUGUGAGCAACAACAACCCAAAGGGAAUUUAAGAGGAUGUGUUGCCUCCUCUCUCUUAGUUAGACAAAGAGAGUGUUUUCUAUUAAAAUAAUUGUUGAGUAUGACUCCUAUUUCAGUCAAAUUUGAAAAAUAAUCUUCUAGUUAAACUCUGUUUAUUUGUUUCAAUCAAAUUAUGAUUAGUCUAGAUUAUUUUUUUAUUAUUUGACCUAUGAAUUUAGCCUAUAAAUAGGCUCUUUUACAACUUUAGAAAAUACACCCAUUAGAGAUUAGAACUCAUACACUUUUGGAGAAUUUUUGUGUUUACAUUUUGAGGGUUCUUUGUUUUUUGGGGUUUCAGGGUUUAGUUUCUAUCUUCAUCUUUGUACUAUUCGUUCUUUUUUCAUUAUAGUAAAAUUAUUUUUGCCCGCAGUAUUUUAUCUUCUUUGGAGGGGUUUUUCUACGUUAAAUUUGUGUGUUCAAUUUCUCAAUUUCUUCCGGUAUUUUUACUUGUUCGUUGCUUAAUUGGGUCAAUCCCCAACAAUAACAUUAUUUGUUUAAGCCUUAUUCAACCAAGAUUCUUCUAUCUCUCUCUAUGAAUAGAUAGCACCGAUUGACUUAAAAAACACACUUAUUAGUUAUUGAUUUAUCGUUAUUCUACCAAAAAAUAGUGAUAAUUUAUUCACUUAGAAUAAAUUAUAUUUUUUGGGAAUUACGAUUUUUACCAGUUUCUUAAGAGAAUUUUUUUCCUACUGAAAGUAAUAAUAAUUUCUUGUUCGUUGUUUGGUUCGUGUUUCUCGAGCCCACGCUCAACCCAAAUCCAUCUUGCACAAUGUAUAGGUACUUUUUGGUAAAACGUUUAUUGCUAUAAACAUCAUAAAUCGGUUUAGUUUUUAAAAUUUUUAAACUUCUGCUAUAACUAUAAAUCGUUAUGAAGGAUUUUGAAGAACCAUAUUUUUAAGUGGGACCGUGUGUAUUAAAUCAAAUAAAAUUAUGAAGAAUUUUGAAAAACCACAUUUGUAAGUGGAAUUGGAAAAAGGAAAUUGAGCUACUGAGAUCCCCUCUUGAAAUUACUUAUAAAUUCUGAAAUUCUUUAAUAUAUUUACCCAAACAAAUAAAUUCAUUUUUAUAAAUUUAAAAAUCUUGAUAAAAAUAAAAUCCCUCCUAUAAAUCCCUCACCCAAACACACUUUUAAGUACCUAUGCAAGUUAGGAAGCAAAUGAUGACAAGGACUCAUCACUUACAAAUGAUCCAUUAGAAUGUCUGACCGGCAUUACACGUGUGUGCAUAAAACAACAAAUUUAUAAAAAAAAAUUUAUAGCAAGGUUUUACUGCAAUCAUGCAGGUUAGUUGUAAUAUUUGUAGUGUUACAAUGGAACACCAAAAUAUUCCAAGGAUCGAACUCAAAGGAGUUGGUGAUUUAAUGAUCUGCCACGAAUUAUUGACCGCCUUCAGACAUACUAACAUCUAGAGUGUGAAUAUUGCAGCAAAAGAUAUAUAUAAAUGAUGCGGUAUCUGCAAGUACACGGGUCAGGUUGUAAUAUAGUUACAACGAAGUAUGUGAGUACUCUGAGGAUCGUACCCAAAGGAGGCUAAUACUAGCUCAAUUUCAACCUAAACACCAAAAGAUCUAAUUAGUACUUGAAAUAAGUUAUAUUACGAAAAUAUAAAUAAUAGAGAUUUUUGGGGGUUUUUUAUAGUAAUGAAAAUAUGACAAGUAAUUAAAUAUUGAGAAAUUGAAAAGUGAAAUUAAUCAAAUCUGAUUAUGGGUGAUUAGCUCACUUCAGUAAUCUUCAUCAACUGCCGCUUUAGGUUCCUCAUCAAUCAACUAGUUGAUAUCCUAGUAGAAUCUUCCGAUGGAUCCACUAGAACAAUAAGUCAGCAAUGACUACUUAUCUUCUGACCUCACAGUCUAGACCGGUUUGAGGUGAAGGUGUUUACAGAUAGGCCAUAGCAAUUUUAGGUUAAUUUCCACCUUGAUAACUUCUUAGGGUCGUCAAGCCUAGGUUUUACGUUCUUCUUUUCCCAAACAGCUGAUCUGUUGAGUAAUCCUACAAAACAGUUAAUAUAUCAUAGCUCCACUCGCUAAUCCCCCAUAAAAGGAUUAGUUCCUCAUGGUUUUCGUAAACAAUAUAAAGUUGAUAUAAAGUGUAAACAUGAUAAUUGAAUCGAAAGUAUAAAGUUUAAGAAAAAGCCUGAUUUGUAUUACGAAGAAGAAUGAAUCCACAAAGUUUAAUCGUAUCCACAAGUCAUAUUUCCUGAGAUAAAACAAAGAACAAGCUGAAAUAAAUAUAAAACCUAAGAAAAGAUAAAUACUAAACUAAAAAUAAAAAGAAAGAUUCUAAGCUAAGUAAUCAGUGUCUAUAACAUGUGCCAAAUGAGCCUAUUUAUAGAUUUGAGGUGAUCGUCGUCCUUAACCCUAGGUUAGCUGACAUUCCCGAACUUUAAGUUGGAUUGUGCGGACCAAAAUACCCCCUGGCUCGUAUUAAUUCCCGUCAAGAGUUGAUGUUGCGACACAUCAAAACCUGUGUCGCGACAUAAAAGUCAGUAUACUUUUCUUCAAAGUGUCUUUAGGGGUAUGUCGCGACAUCCUUAAGCUGUGUCGUGACAUCAAAGGAAAUCUUAGAAUUCCUCCAUUCUGCUCCCUAUGUUGCAAUAUCGAAUCCUCUGUGUUGCGACAUAGUGACUAGUAUCAGUUUAGCACGCCUCCUAAUGGUCUCCUAUAUACUCACAAAGUUCAUUAGCUCACCCUUAGACCUCGUUCGACCCCUAAGGUCAAGAAAAGACUCAAUUUAUACAUUUUGUUGAAUUUAAUUAAACUUACUAAAACAUAAUUAAAAUCUAAUGAUAAUGCUUAUUUUCAAGCUCUUAAAGUGAAAAAAUUAGUUUAAUCUACUAACCCAAUUAUGACAGAUCAAUUAUAUUAUUAUUAUUUAUAUCACUUUUUACACGUAAUUUUAGCUUGUUUAAUAGUAAAUAAAAUUAUCUUAGUAUAUAUUUAUGUUUUCAUACUUGAAGUAAUGAUGUAUGCUUUUUAGUAGUUUUUAUUACAUUUUAGAUAUAUAAAUAUGGUUGCAUGGUCCUGUAGGACAAUCUGGGAGCAAAAGAUGCAUAUUCAUGAUGGAACUGUUGCCUAUGUCGCGACACCAACACAUCGAUGUUGUAACAUCAAAGGCAGAAGCAAAAACAAGUCAAUGAGCGAAACUGCUUGGUAUGUCGUGACAUAGCCUUACUAUCUUGGAGCGAAGACCUAAUAAAUUGUACAUAAAUUGAAACCUUGAACUCUUCCUUAUCCUUGGUCUUUUAAUACAUUACAAAAUAGACGUUAGGCUAUAGAUAUUGAGGGUUUAGGUAUAUACAUCAUGGUGGUUUCAAAAAAAUUUAGAGCGAAAAAAGAAGAAACAAUAUGAUACAAUGAUUAUAGGUCAAGCAAAAAUGUGCAAAAAAAGAAAAAUAUAGAAAAAGUAAAAAGUAAAAAUAAGAAGAAAAAGUACAAAAUAAAAGCAAAAGCCUUAUGAGUGAGAAAAAAAGUAAAAUGUCAAGUGGCAAAACAAAAAGUCACAAAAGUGAGAAAAACUCAGUCAUCAAUGCACAAAAACUCGUUGAGCCAACCAUAGUUAUUAGUAUUAUAUUGUAUCUUCCUACAUGGAGAGAUAAGGAAGGUGAGAGAGGGAGAAAAAAGAAGGUGAGCUUGAAAGGGGCACCUAGAGAGAGAGGGAAUAAUGUCAUGUGCCUAACUAUUUCUAGUGUUUGAACUAUUUUGAGCCAUAUCUUUCUUUGAACUCGUACAGUCCUAAGCCUCAGAACAUUACAAGCCUAGAAGACCAAUGUGACUUAAGCGUUCUCUGUGCAUAAUCUUCUAGUAUUGCUAAUGUAAUGACCUAAAUUCAAGGUUAGCGGAAUAGUGGUUUCGUAACCAUAAAUCCGAUUUAAAGAAAAAUUUAUUUUAAUAUUUUGCAUGAAUAUUGAUAUGAUAGGAAAACCGUAUGAAAAUAUUGAUAGAAAAAUUUUACCGAUUUAAUGGUUAGUUAGAAAAAGAAAUUAUUGAAGAAAUUGGGUAAAAAUAAGGUAUGGGGACCUUGAUCUCGUAAAACUGAGUCAGAAAUAUUUUUAUAAAUAUUUAUGAAAUGUAAGCAAUGUGGUAUUAAAAUUUUGUUAUAAAAUUUUAAUGUUUGGGUAGUCAAUUAAAUGAAAAGGACUAAAUUGAAAAAGGUGUAAAAGUGGCUGGGAUGAUUAAAUAGCUUAGGUGUCUAAUGAGAAAGGAUUUAAAAGGCAAUUAGACCAAAAUUUAUUUGGGCUGGACGGAAAGGGCAUGAAAUCAGCAAGAAAAUGGAUUAUUUAAGGGUAAAAUUGGAAUAUUGCAUCAUUAACUAAAUAAAAUUAGGACUAAUGUAGAAAUAUCUAGAUUUCUUGUGAUUUCUCUUCAUUCUCAUCAGCCAAAAGGCCAUAGGAGGGGUUCUUUAAGCUGGUAUUUCAUAAUUUUUGCACCAAGUGAGUUAAUCCUUGCCUUUUUCUUGUAAUUUUUGUGUUUCUAAGACUUUUACAACUAGGUUCUACUAUUAAAUUCAUUAGUUUUUGAUUUCAUGGAUGGAAUUGAAAGUCACCAUGGUUGAGUGCUGUAAGUUUAUGAUGAAAUAACAUGAAAUUGAAGCUUUAAUUUGUUUAUGAGAUGAUUUUAUUAGGUAAUUUUAAUAGAAAUUGAUUUUUAAGACCUAAUUGUGAAAAGUUGGAAUUAAAGUCUAGUGCUGAAAUUUUGAUUCCCAAAGGUUAUAAAGUAGUUUAAAGUGAUAGAAUAAAGUGUUAAUUGAGAAAAAUCAGCUCAAUUGAGAGGUUAAUUGAGCAGGGACGAAAUUAUCAUUUAUUAAAAGCUUAGGGGAAAAUGGUAAUAAACAUCUUGCACUAAAACAGCUUUGGACAGCAACAGUAGGCUAACUUUAAAAAAAUCACCAUAAAUUGUGGAAAUCUAAUUAGAGGAUAAAUAAAAUAUUGAAUUAAAGCUUAUUGAGUCUAGUUUCUUAUAGUAGAAACGGUGUAAGUAAUGGAAUUGUAAAUCAUGAGAUAUAUUAAAUUUUGUGAGACAAGGUCAGAAUGAAUUCGGAAUCCCCUGUUCUGAAUUUGGAAAAUCAUUAAAAAUUGGAGAAAAAUAAUUAAGGGUUAAAAUUUACAUAUUUAAACUAUUAAUGAGUCUAUUUUUAAUAGAAACAAACGGAAAUAUCAUCCAAAUUUUGUACUAAGAGAUAAUUAAUUUUUAGCAAAGAAAGGUCGAAGUUGUCAAACAACAGAACAGGGGUAAGUUUGAAGAUUUUACUGUACUCAUUGGCUGAACCAAAAAUUCUGAAAAUUUUAUGGUGAAAAUAUAUUUGAGUGUAGUUUCAGAAGCAUCAAAUGGUUUUUAAUAUGGAAUUCUGUAGCUUGAGAUAUAAAUAAUUUAGUGACUACGACUCAAGUAGACAGCUUUGAGUGAACAGUAAAUAAUAGUGGAAUUAUAGAGAAUGUUACAUAUGAACGUGAAAUGUAUUAAAUUGAUGAUUAAAUUUAUUUAUUUAGAUCCAGAAAAUUCAAAUAUGAAGCUAGAUCGAGGAAAGGAAAAAGUUCGGGAUUAGUAGAUUUUUGUAUACGAACAAGUAUCGAGGUAAGUUUGUGUAACCUGAAUUAUAUUCUUAAAUGCUUGAAAUGUAUAUUAUUGAUGUGAAUAUGAUUUAAAUGUUCAUUGUAUGAAAAUUGAUGAGACAUUGAUAUAUUUGAUAAAAAGGGGGAAAAAUCCCGGUUGAAUAAAAGGAAAAUUCGAUGGAUCUUUAAAAAGGAAUUGACGGUAAAGAAAAGAUCUAUCCCGGACAGGUGAUCCUACCCUGAUAUAGCCCUCUCGAAGAAUAUGUGUAAAAUAGAUUUAGCUCAGACGGGUAAUCUGAAUUAGGGUUUGAAUUUAGCCUGGACUAGUAAUUCAGAUCCAAGCUCAUUAGAGUAAAUUGUCGUUGUAGGGGAUUUAGCCUAGACUUGUAAUCACAACAAUACUCUAUAAGUUUAUAUUACAGGGGAUUUAGCCUGGACUGGUAAUCCUGCUGUAAGGAUGAGGUUCGCAGGAGUGUGCUCUCUGAAAUGGAAAUGUGCGCACAUGAAUAUGAAUUGACGGACCCGGAAUAGUACGCUAAAAGUGUACCUCUAAAAACCCAUCGAAAUUCCGAGAAAUUCAAUGGGAUAAAUAUGGUAAAUAAUAAGGGUAAUAGAAAACAUGGAAUUGAUGAGCUCAUCAGUCAUUAAUCUUUGUAUUGAACUCAUAUGAUGCUAUUUGAUUAAUGUUUUGGUUGAGUUUGUGUGAUAGGUAAAUGGUAAAUUGAAUGGAUGUAUGAAUAUUUAUUGUAUUGUAUUGGAAAUAUUAGGUAAGUAUAAUUCUUGUUACAUGACUUUACUAAGCACAACGUGCUUACCCUGUUUCCUUUUUCCCUGAUUUGUAGUAUUAAGAGCUCGAAGGUUGGAUUCGGUCGGAGAUACAUCACACUAUCAACUUCAACAUUUUGGUAUAUCAAGAAACUUUAUUUUGGAAUCACUGAUGUGUAUAAGUUGAUAGAGUAAAUGUUAAAGUGAAAUGAAUGUAAAGUUAGCCAUUGGUAUGGCUUGAAAUCCAGGUUUUGGUAUGUGAUGAGGUUAUCUUAUGGAUAUGCGUAAAUCUAUCUUGAAAAUAUGUUGAAUUUGAUUGGUUGAUUUGAUUUGAUAUCGGUGUAUGUUUUGGGCUUCGGAGGCCUAUCUAAGGGACGUCAUAAUAUGUUUCAAUAAAAGAAUAGUAUUUAACUCGUAAUAACGAAAAAAAAUAAUUUGAAAAACUCUGGCAAUGCCUCGUACCCUAUUCCAGUGACGAAUAUAGGUAAGGAGUGUUACAGCUAACAAUUGUACUUAAUGAAAAUUUUUUAUUCACAUGAUUGUAUCUACUCAAUAUCUAUUUGAUUUCUAUUAACGGUGAUAUUGUUAAACAUUUGGUUAUGAGAUUUGCUUCUAAUUUAUUAGUAAUGUAACUUUGUAAAGUAAUCUUAGUUUACUUUAAAAAGUUUUCAAUGCAUCGAACUAUCAAUAUUAAGUUGCAUGUGCGAUAAAAUUUUUUAUAGCUUUACUAUUUGACAACCAUGUUCGUAGUAGUAAUAAAUUCCAAGGGACGUCUUCUUUUUGCAUACUAUAUGUCUAAAGUUGGUUUGCUUGAGGACAAGCAAAAAGUUAAGUGUGGGGGAGUUACGUGUGAGAUUCUUAUUUACAUCCAUCUUCACUAACUUUAUCUUGUUUAAAUAAAGAAAUCAAGUCAUUUUCGUAUUAUUUUUUUUCCUUUUUCCCAUAUAUGUGUUUUGGUUGCUUGAGGACAAGCAACAAGUUAAGUGUGGGGGAGUGAUCUACCAGGAAUUAUACUAUUAUUUACAUCCCUUUGUAUACAUAAUUGUAUCUUGUUUAAUAGUAAAUCAAGUUAUCUUAGUAUAUAUCUAUGUUUUCAUACUUGAAGUAAUGACAUAUGUUUUUUAGUAGUUUUAUUACAUCCUAGAUAUCUAAAUAAGGUUAUAUGGUCAUGUGGGACAAAUCGGGAGCUAAACAUGCAUAAACGGGCCAAAAAUGAUGCCUAUGUCGUGACACCAAGACACCGAUGCCGCAACAUCAGAGACAAAAGCAAAACAAGUCUUGGGGUGAAACUGCUUGUUAUGUCAUAACAUAACAGGCACCAUAUUUGAUUUUGCAACACUACAUGCCUAUGUUGCAACACCACUUCUGCGCGGUCCAAAAGUCCUAGUGCGUGAUAGUUGCAUUUUUUAGGGAAAUUAGGAGAAUUUUUCCUAGUCAAACUCUAAGCACUUCAAAGAUAGUUUAGGCACUUUAAUAUUCUGAGUUUAGCCUAUAUAAAGGCCAUUGUAAUAAGUUCAAACACACAAUUUUAAGGAGACAAAAAUUAUUCUUAGGUUUUUAUUGCAUUCUUAGUUUCUACUUAGUUUAUUUUAUGUUCUUGUAAUCAAAAGAUCCUAUUCCAAAGUGAGACUUUUGCGAGCGGAGAUUGUUCGGAGCCAUACUUUCAUCGAUAAAUCUAUGAGCAUCUCUUUCCUUUAUUUUAUUCUUUAUAUUUCUUUCUUUAAAAUUGUUAAUUGAAUGUUUGUGUAAAGAUUAGAAUCAAUAUAAUUUAUAUAUAUUUCGCAUGUUUCAAUUGUACUAAUCUUAUUAAUUGAUUGAUUGAUAGAGUUUAUUUGGGUUGGUUAGAUUUGGUUGAGUGUUAUUAAACCCUAGGAUUGACAACCCUAAGAAGUCAUCUAGGUAGGAAUUAACUUGAAAUUGGUAUUGCCUACAAAGCAUCACUUAGCAAAUCAAUGGUUAGAGAAGGAAGAACUUAAACCCUAUGAUAGACGAUCCUAGGAAGUCAUAUAGGUGUGAAUUAACCCAAAUUCGGUAUUGCCUAUCCAUGAAAACCUUACCCUACCCCGAUCUGGACUGCAUCAUUGAGAGGUGAGUAGUUCUUGUCGUCUAGUUAGGUUAGUAGAAGUUGAGAAGCCCUGCUAGGUUAAUUAGUAACCAACUAUUUAGAUCCCUACAUCAAUAAUUAAUUAGGUAAAACAAUUGGAUCUAGGCUUAAGGAACUCCCGUAUUCGAAACAAGGGAUAGGAGAAGUUGAUACAUGAACUUAAGAGUAGAUUUAAGUUUAGAUCACUUUAUUUGGUUAUUAUUAUCAUCUUACUUUUAGAUUAACACUACUAAUUUAUACCUUUAGUAGAUUAGUAGUUAUUUUCGGUAAUUUGCUUAAUAGUAGUUUUUUUUUCACACUGCACAAUCUUCAGAAUACUUACCAAGUAUUUCAUUGUAAACAAACUAUAUUACAACCUGCCCCUUAUACUUGUGAACACAACCUUAAUUCCAUAUAUUUUGUAACAGUAUUCAUACUCUCAACGUUGGUAUGUCGGGAGGCAGUCAUUUAGCGAUUUCUAUUCAAAAGUGCAUGCAAGUAAGGAGACCGUGAUGGGCACAGUGAGGUGUCUAUUAGUUGAAAGCAAGUUGCCAAAGGAAUUUUGGGUUGAGGUAGUUAACACUUCAGUCUAUUUGGUGAACAGGCUGUCAACCAAGGAUGUGAAAGAAAAGACUCCAUUUGAAGCUUGGUACGGGUAUAAGCCUUUUGUUUCUCAUUUGAAAGUAUUUGGCUAUAUUUUUUUUUCAUGUACCUCAGGUGAAAAAAAGCAAAGUAGAAAGGAAAUCGUAGCCUGGGAUUUUUAAGAUGCUACUAUCUGAUUCUUAAGGAAAUACCAAUAUUUCUUCCUCCCUUGAGCUGGAAGUUGCGAUUUUGGGUUGUUAUGAGGAGAUAUUUUAUGUUUGGUUAAGUAGUAUGACUUUGUAUGCGAGUUCUGAAAGAGUAAGUUUGUUAGAUUUGGUAAAACAAAAAGAUAAAGAUAUGAGGCUUUGUUUGGGGACUUCUAAUGUUAGAAAUGUUAGUAAAAAGGUAUAUGAAUAAAUUUUGAUGUGCUUCUAUGUUCUGUAUCAGUGCUUGCUGUUGAUUUCGUAAUGAGAGUCUAGAUCUAGAGUUUUUCUUUGCGACAAGUUAGAAUCAGGUGAGUCUCUAAACUGACUCUUGUAUGUAUUAUUCAUACUAAAAAAACUGUAGGAAAUUUCUUGGAAGGUGAUGUGUGAUCUUGUAAGUUGCAGUAUGUUGUGUAUGUGACUUAGGAGUGACUAUUAAAGGAUAUAUAUGAGUGUGUGAAUGUUUGUUAAGAAUGGAAUACAUAUCUGGUAUGAAUAUGAUAGUUCUAGUAAGGCGAGGUGAGGUAUAGUUGCAUCUGAAUGUCAUGAAAGUAUAUGUGCAUGUCUUGGAUGUAUGCUAUGAGGAAUGUUCUAUUAAGAGCAAGUUGUUAUUCAAAUGGUGAAUAUGGAUCGUGUCAGUGCAUGUAGAGUAUCUGUCUGUCUUCACGGUAUUGUCUAAAGGAGUCUGUUGAGACUUUAAACACGAAUUCUGAAAAGAAAAUUCCAUGGCCAUGGCACAUUCCGAAAGGAACUAAAGGACGAGGAUUACCCAAUGGGGUUAUCUGCCUAUCCCAGGAUGAUGAUAGGCAAACCUCACGCAACGUGAGUUUAGGAAAAUCUAUAUCAUAAAUACGUCAGGAAAUGAAGCCUUUGUGGAUAACUCUAAAAAGAAAGCCUUUGUGGCUAACUCUAAAAAGGAAGCUUUCAUGGCGAACUCCAAAGGAAUAACCUCUAUGGCCAAUUGUAAUAGGAUAGCCUUUGUGGCGCAAUGUAAAAGGAACACCUGUGUGGCGAAUUAUGAAAAGAAUAGCCUUUGUGAUGGAUUAUGAAAGAGCAUCAUUCGUAGCAAACUUCAAAUGUGAUGUCCUUGUGGCGUGUCUUAAUAAGGCUCUUAGUGGGAAAACUUUAAAAGAUGUCACUUAUGGCAAUUUUUGAAUUAAGCUAAUUUUCGUAUUCAAUCUGGCUUUUAAAUGUAUUCAGAACACAAUCAACAAGGCAUAAGUUAUCUAUUAAUUAUACGGUGAAGUAUCACAUAGGACUAUCAAUCGAUUGGAAGUAUUGAAUUGAAGAGAUAUAUAGAAAUAAGGAAUUAGUAUGGAAAGUUUAUUUCAAAAUAAGGAUUUGGAAUUGUACAUUUGAAGAAGGUAUUUGUCAUCUACUCACAUGAUGGCUUAGAACUAAGUAUGGUACAGUAAUAGUGUGUUAGUUAAGUUGAUCUUGGAAAGGAAAUGCAAAGAUACUUAUAAAUGCUAGGAUGAAAGGCAUACGUGAUGUAUCGAAUACCCCAAUGGAAAAAGAGUUAAUUUUUGAGUAAGGCAUGAUAUAUAUAGUGUAUGAAGAAUGGAAUUUGAGGGAAGCAAUCGCCAAAGACAGGUUACUGGGCAAGAACAAUAAGAUCAUCUCAUUGAAUCAUCAACUGUAUUGUGCAAAUAUCACAUAGGUAAUUAUAUAUUCCUCACUUAGUUUGUAUAAACUUAUCCAUGUGUAUGUUAUAUUAUAGGUUUGAUUGCAAGGCUACACCAAGAGGGACGAUACCAGGACUACUCUAAAGGAGUGGCGUAUCGGGAAAUUAUGAAUGCAAUUAGUUGAUAUGUUCCUUAGAAUUCAUAUUUUUUUUGUAAUAUAUAGGUUUUAAAUUAGAAAUAUUUAUACCUUAAUUACCAUGUGUUGCAAAUGUAGUUAUCUACUGAACAUACUUAUAUAUUUAGUUUGAAAUCUGCAAUUGAAUAAGUUGUAAUUGUUUGAAAUUUGUAUAAGUAGGUUAAGUUUUUGUUUGUUUAUGUUGGUAAUGCCCAAGAUCUAGAUCCAAAAAAACGGACCAAGCUCAACAAAGGACUUCUCCUCGGCCAUGACUACAAUAAGCUCAGUGAUGCAUUGUCGGUGCAAAUAAUGUUCUUCCCAAAACUUCAAUCCAUCUUCAAACUAGUAGAAUGCUUCUUUUUCACUUAUAUCAGAUAUUUAAAGCAUUUAUUCACUAAAGUACUAAAUAGUGCCUUCUUGAGUAAGCCAGUGCAACUUAGCCCGAGCUUCCUUCUCGGCAUAUUAUUGGUAAAACUGUUUUUUCAUCUCCUUUUGGAACUCCUCCUAAAUUUUAAUUUUAGUCCUACCAUGUUUCUCAUCCGUGAACCUACGAUGCCACCAUAAGAGAGUAACAUCAGUAAAAUAAAUUAAAGCAGUGUUUACCUUAGUGACAUCUAUAAUGACCCAAAAUUCACGGGCAUCGAAAAAGUAUAAUAUCGAGCCUCCGUCUUGAGUUUAAAAAUAAUUAUUAGAAAUAUUUACGAGACUAGUUGUGUGUUUAAUUAGGUUUUAGAUAGGUGAAUUUGGCUCAAUUAAGAGUAAUUAGCAAAAGGGAUUAAAUUACAAUAGAAGUGAAAAUCUAAUCAUAGAUUAAAAGAAAGUAAAAAGGGCUAAAAUGGCAAUUAAGCCAUUUAAAAUGAUUGAGGCGGCAUAAAGGAAUAAAUUUUAAGAUUUUAUUUAUUUAAUUAUAUGAUUAAUGAUAUUUAUUGUUUAUUAUUAGUUAUUAGUUAUUAUUAAAUUAAAAGAUAUUUAGUAAUUAAAUAAUUAGUAUAAGAUUUUUGGGUAAUAAUAAAUUAUGAUUUUGCCAAGUGUGUGGUAAAAAUAAAAUACAAGUGUAUUAUAUUUCUUUAUUUACUUGAAAAUUAAGUAAAAGAUAAUUGUUAAUUAAAUAAUAAUAUUAUGAGAUUUUUAUUUGAUAAAUUAGUUAGAUUGAGACAAGUGUAUGUAAUGAUUUAAUGCAAGUGUACUAAUAAAAUACAUACAUUUGUAAUAUUUAUAAUUAGUUAAUAUAAUAUAAAGUAAAUGAAAUAAAAUGAAAUAAAAACAAAGCAAAAGAAAGGAAAGAAACAGAAUAGAAGAGACGAAACAGGGGAGAAACAGGGGAGAAAGAAGAAAAAGAAGAAAAUAGGGAAAAUAGGGUUUUUGAAGCUUGAAAUUUAAUUUGGUAAGUCAAAUUAGCCCUUUUCUCUUAAUUCUAAUGUUUUAAAAGCUUUAAAACAAAGUUUUGAUGGAAUUAAGUUGAUAUUUUGUAAGUUCAUAGGUUUUCAAGUAACGUUUAUGUUGAACAAAAGAGAUGAAUUAAGAAUUAAAUUGAAUGAAUUUUAAGUUAGAAUUGAAAAAGGGAUUAAAUUGUAAAAGAAACUAUAAGUUUUAUGUUUUAGGGACUAAAUUGAGGGAAAUUCGAAAUUAGCAAAAAUGCUGAAAUUUCGAUAGUUAAAUUUUAGUUUGGAUGAAAUUUGAAUAGAAAUAGAGUGUGAAUUGAAUUAGGAAAGCAAGUGAAUUUAGUUAGGAUUAAAUUGAGAAUUAGGAAGAAAUUGAAUAGAAAUUCAAUUAUUUAUUAUAAUUAGUGCUGUAAUUAAUAUUACAAAUUAUUAUUAUUUUCGUAGCUAACAAAGAACCCGAGGCAUCGGCGUCAAAAGGAAAGGAGAAAGUUAUCGAGGACUAAAACGGGAGAUUUACGGUUUGUAUUACUAUAAUUCAAAUUAUUUAUUUUUAAAUGUUUAAUUUUAAUUUAUGUGUUUAGUAAAUGAAAUGUGCGGUAAGUAUUAUUAUUAUUAUUAUUAUUAGUGGGAAUUAAACUGAAUAUUUGAUAUGAAUUAAUAUUUGAAUUGUUUGUUGAUUGAAAGUGGGAAGUGAAUUUAAAUCGAAUAGUGACUGAUAUUAAAUUGAAUGGAAAUGUAUUGAGUUGUGAAAAUGUGUGAAUUGCGGAUUAAUUAUUGAUUGAAAGGUGGAAAAAUGAUUGAAUUGAAAAUGUGAGAAAUUGUGAUUGAAUUGGGAUUAUAUGUGAUUUAAAUACCCUAUUAACUAGUCGGGCUGAGUCGGAUAUAGUUGGCAUGCCAUAGGAUUGGAAGAGUUCAGGGAUACUUCGACCUCGAGUCGAUGAGACACUGGGUGUCACUAUAUUUUUUCGGAUAGAUUCGAUGAGGUACUGGGUACCAACUUUCUUCGGCUUUGCCGAUGAGACACUGGGUGUCAACUAUUGCUUCGAACUAUCCGAUGAGGCACUGGGUGUCAUACUGGUGUGUUUGGUUGGAUCCGUGUAUCCGCCAAAGUCCGAGUUUUGUUAAUAGGGUAAUUAAUGAAAUGAUAAACCGAACGAGCUACUGAAAUGAAAUGAAAAAGUUGAAUUGUGAAUUGAAAUGUGAAAUGAGAUUGAGAAAUGAACCUAAAGUUCAUGAGAUGUUCAAAUUCAAAUUGUGGAUAUGUGAUAUUGAUUGAUGGAUUGCUAUUGUUGAGAUAUUGAAUUUAAAUUGUAUAUACGAUUUAUGCAUUACAUGUACAUUAUUGUUAUAAUUUGAAUUAUGGUAAUACCACUGAGUAUGAAUUACUCAGCGUACGGUUGUUUCCAUGCGCAGGUCGAUAGAAGUCAAAGGUCUCGGUUCAGCAUCCAGAUUAAUCCCGGCUUCAGCAUAACUUUGGUGAUGUAUAUUUUCUUUUGGUAAUGUGGCAUGUACAUAGGAAUUAUAAGUUUUAUAUAAAUGGUUAAAAAUGUUAGUAUUAUAAGUUUAUGAAUUAUAAUGAAAGAAGUUUAUCUAUUUUAAUCUAAUUAGUCAAUGGAUAAAUUUAAAUUGAUAUUAUGUUAAUUGAGUUUGAUUAGAAGUAUUUAGAAUAGAAAAUGUGAAUGUGAAAUGAAUUGGUUGAUUUGGUUAUAUUUGAAAAUGUUAUGGAUUUUAAUUGCAGGGGGUUGUAUGUAAAAAUAAGCAGAAGUGCUGCCGAAAUUUUUCAAAAAAAAAAUGAAUGAAGUUUAUUAGCGAAAUUUAUAUGAAUUUAUGACUCUCUUUUAUAUGUUCGUUAAUUGUUUAUGAAUUAUUUGAAAUUUGUCUGAAAUGUCCGGUAAUGCCUCAUAACCCUGUUCUGGCAACGGUUCAGGGUUAGGGGGUGUUACAGUUGUUGGUAUCAGAGCUAUCAGGUUUAGCCGAUUCUCGGCCUAAAUCGAGCUCGGAAUUGAGUCUAGAUGUACAUGCCACUGUCGAGUCAAACUGAGUCGAGAUUUUUGGAUGCUGACCUAUUUGUUUGCUUUGUUUUAUAGAUUAAAGAUGUCUGAAGAAAGAAUAAAUGAUACUGAUGAAAGAAUGUAUACUGAAGAUAGAGAAUUAGAUGAAACAGAAUCUGCUGCACCGAGUGUGAAUCUGUUAGGCAACCAGCCUCCUAAUGUGGAACGGGAAAAUGCCAGAGAUAGAGAUGAAUCCCAAUUACUGAGAAUUAUAGCUGAUGCAUUACAAAGAGUAGCGAGAACUACUCCUGCUACGACUUCAGUACCUACUGUUAGACGGGCCCCGAUAAAAGAACUGAGAAAAUAUGGUGCCACUGAAUUUAUGGGUCUAAAAGGAGUCGAUCCAUCCGCAGCUGAAAAUUGGAUGGAGUCGAUUAAAAGAAUUUUGCAGCAAUUAGACUGUACCCCCCGUGAGUGUUUAAUCUGUGAUGUAUCGUUGCUACAAGGGGAGGCUUAUCUAUGGUGGGAAUCAGUAGUUCGACAUCUAUCAGAGAGUCAGAUAACGUGGGAUCUAUUUCAGAAGGAAUUCCAAAAGAAAUAUAUCGGAGAGAUAUAUAUCGAAGACAAGAAACAAGAGUUUUUAAUGUUACAACAGGGGGAUAUGUCAGUAAUAGAUUAUGAGAGAGAAUUCUCGAGACUCAGCAGAUAUGCCUCCAAAUUUAUCCUGACAGAAGCUGAUAGUUGUAAAAGAUUUCUAUGGGCUUUGCGAGACGAGAUCAAGGUACAGUUAGUAUCUCAUCGGAUCACUGAGUUAGUAGAUUUGAUUGAGCGGGCUAAAAUGGUGGAACAAGUUCUAGCCCUUGAUAAAAAGACUGAAGUUGUUAGACCAACCAGGAAAUGUACAGGAACUACGAGUUCGAACCUUCAGCCGAAAAGACCAAAGGAGUCUCAAGGUGGUUGAAGAUCCAGUUUCAGAUCAGGCAAAGGUGGUAGAAGCAGGGGAAGAUAGAUGACGGUAUCUACUGGCAAUGUGAGAGGUCCUUGUCGAGAAAUAGAAAUUCCAGACUGUCAACACUGUGGAAAGAAACAUAGAGGGGAAUGUUGGAGAUUAACUAGAGGUUGUUUCCGAUGUGGUUCUACAGACCAUUUUAUCAGAAAUUGUUUGAAAACUGAUAGUACUGUACCCGUGACAUCACAGAGAUCGGUAUCUACUGCUAGAGGCAGAGGGUUAGGAAGAGGUGGUUCGGUUUCAAGGGGAGGAAGUAUUAGGAGGAGUAGUGAUAUUGCUACCCAGCAGUCUGAAGCUAAAGUACCUGCCAGAGCUUAUGUGGUCAGAACACGGGAAGAAGGCGACGCCCACGGUGUAGUAACAGUAAGAUCAGAACUGUAUGUGAGUUUCCAGAUGUAUUCCCUGAAGAACUACCGGGUUUACCACCUGACAAAGAGGUUGAAUUUGCUAUAGAAGUGUAUCCGGGUACAACACCAAUCUCUAUACCACCGUAUCGAAUGUCGCCCACUGAGUUAAAAGAGUUGAAAGUGCAAUUACAGGACUUGCUAGAUCGUGGAUUUAUUAGACCGAGCAUUUCACCUUGGGGAGCUCCGGUAUUGUUUGUUAAAAAGAAAGAUGGAUCGAUUCGGCUUUGUAUUGAUUACCGGCAGUUAAACAAAGUGACGAUCAAGAACCGGUAUUCGUUACCCCGUAUAGAUGAUUUAUUUGAUCAACUAAAAGGAGCUUCAGUAUUUUCGAAGAUUGACUUGAGAUCUGGGUAUUAUCAGCUGAAAGUAAAAGAAAGUGAUGUUUCGAAGACUGCAUUUCAUACUCGAUAUGGUCAUUAUGAAUUUUUGGUAAUGCCGUUCGGGUUGACUAAUGCUCCAGCUGCUUUUAUGGAUUUGAUGAAUCGUAUUUUUCAGCCAUAUUUAGACCAGUUUGUGGUGGUUUUUAUUGAUGAUAUAUUGGUUUAUUCAAAUUCGGAGUCAGAGCAUGAUCAGCAUCUCAAAACCGUGUUACAGAUUCUGCGGGAAAAAUAGUUGUACGAGAAACUGAGUAAAUGUGAAUUCUGGUUAUCAGAGGUAGUAUUCUUGGGACAUGUUGUAUCUGCGGAUGGGAUUAGAGUUGAUCUGAAGAAGAUUGAGGCAAUUGUUCAAUGGAAGGCACCAAAGAAUGUAUCAGAGGUACGCAGUUUUCUUGGUUUGGCUGGGUAUUACAGAAAAUUUGUAAAUGGGUUUUCGAAGAUAGCUUUGUCGAUGACCAAGUUACUACAGAAGAAUGUUCCAUUUAUCUGAGAUGAUCAAUGCCAGAGAAGUUUUGAAACAUUGAAACAAAUGUUGACAGAGGCACCAGUCCUAACUUUACCAGAAUUAGGGAAAGAUUUCAUAGUGUACAGUGAUGCUUCUUUGAAUGGUUUGGGUUGUGUAUUGAUGCAGAAUGGAAAAAUAAUAGCUUAUGCAUCUCGACAGUUGAAACCACAUGAACGUAACUACCCGACACACGAUUUGGAGUUAGCUGCUGUAGUAUUUGCAUUGAAGAUUUGGAUACAUUACUUGUAUGGUGAGAAAUGUUAUAUUUACACUGAUCAUAAAAGUCUCAAAUAUCUUCUGUCACAAAAGGAGUUGAAUCUGAGACAGAGACGAUGGAUAGAACUUCUGAAAGAUUAUGAUUGUGUUAUAGAUUAUCAUCUAGGAAAGGCAAAUGUGGUAGCAGAUGCAUUGAGCAGAAAGGCAGCGGCUGAAUUACGGACAAUGUUUGCUCGGCUUAGUAUUAAUGAUGAUGGAAGUUUGUUAGCUGAGUUAAGAGUUAAGCCGGUAAUGUUUGAUCGAAUCAGAGCAGCACAACUAGAAGAUGAGAAGUUGAUGAAGAAAAGAGAAAUGGUACAGCAUGGUACGGUAGAAAAUUUUAGUAUUGACGAGCAUGAUUGUUUGAGAUUUCGGAAUCGAAUUUGUAUUCCAGCUACUUCUGAGAUUAAAGAGCUGAUUCUUCGAGAAGCACAUGAUAGUAUUUUUGCUUUGCACCCAGGUGGAACGAAGAUGUAUCGCGAUCUACGAGAACUGUAUUGGUGGCCAAGAAUGAAGAACGAUAUAGUUGAGUAUGUCAGUAAAUGCUUGACUUGUCAGCGGGUAAAAGCAGAACAUCAGGAACCAACAGGUCUGUUACAGCCUAUUACUAUUCCCGAGUGGAAAUGGGAUCGCAUUACCAUGGAUUUUGUUAUGGGGUUGCCAUUGUCAGUGAGUAAAAAGAAUACCAUUUGGGUGAUUGUUGAUCGACUCACAAAGUCAACUCAUUUUAUAGUAGUUAGAACCGACUGGUCAUUACAGAAGCUUGCCGAGGUUUAUAUUCGAGAAAUUGUUAGAUUACAUGGUAUUCCGGUAUCAAUAAUUUCAGACAGAAAUCCUCAAUUCACUUCGAGAUUUUGGAAGCAGCUGCAUGAAUCAUUGGGUACUCGACUUAGUUUCAGUACAGCUUUUCAUCCUCAAACUGAUGGACAAUCUGAACGGGUAAUUCAGAUAUUAGAAGAUAUGCUUCGAGCUUGUGUCAUUGAUUUUGAAUCAGGUUGGGAACGUUAUUUACCAUUGGCCGAGUUUGUUUAUAAUAAUAGUUUCCAAUCUAGUAUUCAAAUGGCUCCGUAUGAAGCACUUUAUGGUCGAAGGUGUCGGUCACCAGUAUGUUGGACAGAAUUAAAAGAAAGAAAAGUGAUUGGGCUGGAAUUAAUUCAAGAGACAGAAGAAACAGUUAAGAAGAUUAAAGAUAGACUGAAAGCCGCUUUUGACAGACAGAAAUCUUACGCAGACUUGAAACGACGAGACAUUGAAUAUUCCAUUAGUGAUAAGGUAUUCCUCAAAGUAUCGCCGUGGAAGAAAAUUUUGAGAUUUGGUCGGAAGGGAAAAUUAAGUCCGCGCUUUAUUGGGCCGUAUGAGAUUGUGGAAAGAAUUGGGCCUGUUGCUUAUCGAUUAGCCUUACCUCCAAAGUUACAGAAAAUUCAUGAUGUUUUUCAUGUUUUGAUGCUUCGGAGAUUUAGAUCGGAUUCUUCUCAUAUCAUUCCCACUGAAGACAUUGAAAUUCGAUCUGAUUUAACUUAUGAAGAAGAACCAAUUCAGAUAUUAGCACGAGAAGUGAAAGAAUUAAGAAAUAAACGGGUUCCUUUAGUAAAAAUUUUAUGGAGAAGUCAUAGUGUGGAAGAAGCGACUUGGGAACCGGAAGAGACAAUGAGAGCACAAUAUCCUCAUCUCUUCUCAGGUAAAUUUCGAGGACGAAAUUUAUUAAGGGGGAGAAAUGUAAUGACCCAAAAUUCACGGGCAUCGGAAAAGUAUAAUAUCGGGCCUCCGUCUUGAGUUUAAAAAUAAUUAUUAGAAAUAUUUAUGAGACUAGUUGUGUGUUUAAUUAGGUUUUAGAUAGGUGAAUUUGGCUCAAUUAAGAGUAAUUAGCAAAAGGGAUUAAAUUACAAUAGAAGUGAAAAUCUAAUCAUAGAUUAAAAGAAAGUAAAAAGGGCUAAAAUGGCAAUUAAGCCAUUUAAAAUGAUUGAGGCGGCAUAAAGGAAUAAAAUUUAAGAUUUUAUUUAUUUAAUUAUAUAAUUAAUGAUAUUUAUUAUUUAUUAUUAGUUAUUAGUUAUUAUUAAAUUAAAAGAUAUUUAGUAAUUAAAUAAUUAGUAUAAGAUUUUUGGGUAAUAAUAAAUUAUGAUUUUGUCAAGUGUGUGGUAAAAAUAAAAUACAAGUGUAUUAUAUUUAUUUAUUUACUUGAAAAUUAAGUAAAAGAUAAUUGUUAAUUAAAUAAUAAUAUUAUGAGAUUUUUAUUUGAUAAAUUAGUUAGAUUGAGACAAGUGUAUGUAAUGAUUUAAUGCAAGUGUACUAAUAAAAUACAUACAUUUGUAAUAUUUAUAAUUAAUUAAUAUAAUAUAAAGUAAAUGAAAUAAAAUGAAAUAAAAACAAAGCAAAAGAAAGGAAAGAAACAGAAUAGAAGAGACGAAACAGGGGAGAAACAGGGGAGAAAGAAGAAAAAGAAGAAAAUAGGGAAAAUAGGGUUUUUGAAGCUUGAAAUUUAAUUUGGUAAGUCAAAUUAGCCCUUUUCUCUUAAUUCUAAUGUUUUAAAAGCUUUAAAACAAAGUUUUGAUGGAAUUAAGUUGAUAUUUUGUAAGUUCAUAGGUUUUCAAGUAAUGUUUAUGUUGAACAAAAGAGAUGAAUUAAGAAUUAAAUUGAAUGAAUUUUAAGUUAGAAUUGAAAAAGGGAUUAAAUUGUAAAAGAAACUAUAAGUUUUAUGUUUUAGGGACUAAAUUGAGGGAAAUUCGAAAUUAGCAAAAUAUGCUGAAAUUUCGAUAGUUAAAUUUUAGUUUGGAUGAAAUUUGAAUAGAAAUAGAGUGUGAAUUGAAUUAGGAAAGCAAGUGAAUUUAGUUAGGAUUAAAUUGAGAAUUAGGAAGAAAUUGAAUAGAAAUUCAAUUAUUUAUUAUAAUUAGUGCUGUAAUUAAUAUUACAAAUUAUUAUUAUUUUCGUAGCUAACAAAGAACCCGAGGCAUCGGCGUCAAAAGGAAAGGAGAAAGUUAUCGAGGACUAAAACGGGAGAUUUACGGUUUGUAUUACUAUAAUUCAAAUUAUUUAUUUUUAAAUGUUUAAUUUUAAUUUAUGUGUUUAGUAAAUGAAAUGUGCGGUAAGUAUUAUUAUUAUUAUUAUUAUUAGUGGGAAUUAAACUGAAUAUUUGAUAUGAAUUAAUAUUUGAAUUGUUUGUUGAUUGAAAGUGGGAAGUGAAUUUAAAUCGAAUAGUGACUGAUAUUAAAUUGAAUGGAAAUGUAUUGAGUUGUGAAAAUGUGUGAAUUGCGGAUUAAUUAUUGAUUGAAAGGUGGAAAAAUGAUUGAAUUGAAAAUGUGAGAAAUUGUGAUUGAAUUGGGAUUAUAUGUGAUUUAAAUACCCUAUUAACUAGUCGGGCUGAGUCGGAUAUAGUUGGCAUGCCAUAGGAUUGGAAGAGUUCAGGGAUACUUCGACCUCGAGUCGAUGAGACACUGGGUGUCACUAUAUUUUUUCGGAUAGAUUCGAUGAGGUACUGGGUACCAACUUUCUUCAGCUUUGCCGAUGAGACACUGGGUGUCAACUAUUGCUUCGAACUAUCCGAUGAGGCACUGGGUGUCAUACUGGUGUGUUUGGUUGGAUCCGUGUAUCCGCCAAAGUCUGAUUUUUGUUAAUAGGGUAAUUAAUGAAAUGAUAAACCGAACGAGCUACUGAAAUGAAAUGAAAAAGUUGAAUUGUGAAUUGAAAUGUGAAAUGAGAUUGAGAAAUGAACCUAAAGUUCAUGAGAUGUUCAAAUUCAAAUUGUGGAUAUGUGAUAUUGAUUGAUGGAUUGCUAUUGUUGAGAUAUUGAAUUUAAAUUGUAUAUACGAUUUAUGCAUUACAUGUACAUUAUUGUUAUAAUUUGAAUUAUGGUAAUACCACUGAGUAUGAAUUACUUAGCGUACGGUUGUUUCCGUGCGCAGGUCGAUAGAAGUCAAAGGUCUCGGUUCAGCAUCCAGAUUAAUCCCGGCUUCAGCAUAACUUUGGUGAUGUAUAUUUUCUUUUGGUAAUGUGGCAUGUACAUAGGAAUUAUAAGUUUUAUAUAAAUGGUUAAAAAUGUUAGUAUUAUAAGUUUAUGAAUUAUAAUGAAAGAAGUUUAUCUAUUUUAAUCUAAUUAGUCAAUGGAUAAAUUUAAAUUGAUAUUAUGUUAAUUGAGUUUGAUUAGAAGUAUUUAGAAUAGAAAAUGUGAAUGUGAAAUGAAUUGGUUGAUUUGGUUAUAUUUGAAAAUGUUAUGGAUUUUAAUUGUAGGGGGUUGUAUGUAAAAAUAAGCAGAAGUGCUGCCGAAAUUUUUCGAAAAAAAAUGAAUGAAGUCUAUUAGCGAAAUUUAUAUGAAUUUAUUACUCUCUUAUAUAUGUUCGUUAAUUGUUUAUGAAUUAUUUGGAAUUUGUCUGAAAUGUCCGGUAAUGCCUCGUAACCCUAUUCUGGCAACAGUUCGGGGUUAGGGGGUGUUACAACAUCAUCCUAAUACCCAACGACUGAUAGUGUUGUUCCAUUUCCCACAAGAAGUUGUCCACUUCUCUAGUGGACCUUCCCCCUCAAACUUCUCUGGUUUGGGAACAUCCAUCUUCCGUUGAUUUGGUCUCGAAGCCAACAUCUUAUUGCUCAAAUUAGCCUUAUAGAUUGUGAGCUCCCCCUUAAGCUCCUCAAUUUUUUCUUUCAAGGUCAUCAUUGUGGCCUCAAGAGCAUCAUCCGUCACGGUCAACUUAUCCACAAUGGAACUAAGCAUCCAUUGCAUCACUUCCACAUUAGAACCGAGAGACUCCAAGAUAAAUUCCUUGAAUUUCUCCUUCAUCGAGUUUAACUCAUUGGUGCGUCGCUCAACUACCUUGAGUGUCUCCCCCAUAUCUCCAAUAGGCUCCUCAAGAUUGGUCACUUGAAUUGCCAAAGCCGACAGCAUUUCCCUCGAUCAAUUAGCUUUGCUAGAGCUCCCGUGGGUCUCCAUAGGCUUAAUUUGAUCUUCUACUCCUUUUGUCAUCUCAAGUGGCACUUUCAAAACCUUAGCUCUAAUACCAACUAUCACAGGGGUAGAACUUUAGUCUCACAAUCCGUGCGACCUUAGGCAAAUUCUUAGGUUCAAAUCCGCCUAAGUUAGUCUAACUCUUGCAAAGUGAAAAAUCUUGAUAGAAAUUCUCUAAGGUGCAAAAAAUAAAGUGAAAGUAAAUCAAAACAAAAGAACAAAAAAUGCCACAAGAAAGCAAAGUACAUCAAGUGUUUGAGUAAAUGUUCUCAAAGUAUUCUAUUACUCUGGAAAUAAUACAAAAAAUAGGAUAGGAUACAAUGGAAUAUUACAAAUGAGGGAGAAUGCCUCUAUUUAUACUUGAGCUCCCCAAGCCAACGAUAUAGAUUGAGUUACAUUAAUGAUUGAGAUUAAAUCCUAUCUACAAUUGAGAUUCUUAAAGGAUUGACUUAAUCUUUUAAGAUUAUAAAAUCAAGUCUUAUCAUGUUACAUAUCUUCUAAGAUUGGUUUCCUUAUUUGCCAAUAUAGCCCUAAUUUUCCAUAAAUGCUUCACUGGACUAUCAAUGCUUCAAGUAGACAGGCUUCUCCAUAUGCUCCACAAAUCGGGCCAGUUCAAAUGCGUCGAAUGAGCCAUGUUUCAUCAUUUGACCUCCAUGGGACAAUCCUUGGCAUUCAUCACGGGCUCUGAUCCGUGACCCAUGACAUAAGCACAUAAAUGUUUAGUAAGUUUAAUUGACAAGUAUUAUACUUAUCUUGCUAGGUGGACCUACAAAUUCAUUGCUCAACAAGCUUCAUAUUCUCGUAUUAGUUACUUAGCAUAAGAUAAGGAAAAUGUGUAGGUAACCAUGUUCAUUAAGUCUAUACAAGCAAAUUAUAACAUGUCCAAUAAGUGUUCAUUAUAUUCUAUUGAUCACAUGUGCACCUAUUUCCACUUUAUUACUACCUUUCAAUUCCAAUUUACGAGUUAAGAUAAUCAAGUUCAUACCUUUUUCAACCUUAAUUCUUUUCUUUAACCAUUUCUUGUCCAAUUUCAAUUUUGUAGCCCAUGUAAUCUUAGUAAAAUAGGACUCGGCUACUAUGAGAAAACCAAAAAUGCUAAGCCCAAAGGCCAUCACAUAUCAUAUCAUGUAGGCCUCCGAAGAGGUAUUGAAAGUCUAAUGGUCUAUAACAAAUGUUCUACCAAGGGUAAGCUAGAACUGGGUUUUCAGAAAACAAACCACAUACCUCUGAACCUCACACCACAACAAAUGUACUUAAGUGUAAGGCACAAAGGCAACAUAUAACAAAUAGGUUCAAAGGCGACAUACACAUAUAACUCUAAUUGACAUGUCAAUCGUAUCCUAACCUUUCUACCAAGUUUACAUAAGCUAUCAUUAACAUACUAAAGAAUUCACAUUUAAGUACCAUUAAGGCAAUUUUUCAUAUGUAUCGUCAUAUUUCCAUAAUGCCACACUUUAAUCACAAGAGUUAAGAUCUUCAAUUGAGGUUUUCAUACCACAUGAAUUUACGUGUUUGUUUAUUCACGUUAACAUGGUUACGUAUAUCAUAAUCAUACUAAAUCUUAACUUGACAUAGUCAAUUACCAUAUUUAACACGUUCUUUCAUAUUUAAUUCUUUGCAUAACAUAGUUCAGUAUAUAAACAUAUUAACUAGUAUAUUCCAUUAAGGUUCUGUUAAUAUACUCAUUAAUUAAUCGUCCAUUCAUGAUCUUAACAUGUUAUAUUCAUUAUGCAUCAAAUUAAAUGUUGUUGAGCUAUUUAACACCUAUAAACAUUGUACUAAAGACACAUAAUAAGCAAAUAUUGUAAGUUCAAGUGAACUUACCUAUUAAGAUCAUUUAAUGAUCAUCAAUUUAAAUUUUCAUUUCCUUAACUUAAGAUUCUACUCAAAAUACACACAACACAUACAAGCAUUGAAUUAAUAAUUUGAAUCUCCUUUGGUUAGUCUUACAAGCAUUGGAUUAAUUGAAUUCAACACUUGAUAGCCAUAUAGUGGCCAUUUUACUUGUUGAAAAUUCAAGAAUGCUUAACCUUUGAGCCUUAGACUUUUAUAUCCAAAAUUGAUAUAACUCGUAAUUUUCCUAUUCAAUUUUUGUUCCAACUUUAAAGUUAUAAUUUCAAGACCUCAAAUGAUCCAAAAACAUGUUUAAACUCCAAAGUUCUCAUAAUUAUCUCUAAGGCUUCUUAAGUACUCAACAAUGGUGGUAUGAACAUCCUUUAACCAAUUUUUAAUCCACCUUCUUUUCUAACUUACACUCUUCUAAGUUCAUCCCAACAUAAGCAUUGAACUAUCAUGAUCAAGCUUCAUCUCUUUCAGUUCCAAGCAUUCAUCUAUGAUUAUCUAAGGAUUUUUCUCAUCAAUUUUAACAUCGAAAAUGAAUGGGCUCAUGCUUAUCUAUUAUUUUAUGCUAUCAAUUAAACCAAAAUUCAAAGGAAACUUAUCAAUUUCUUGAAGAGCAACUCACGGCACCAUGAAACCUCCAUGAAAAUUUUCUUUUUCUUCUUUGUUCUUAAACCAUGGAGAAUGGAUGAGGAUGACCACAUAAUAAGCUUAUUCUCCCACCCACUAAGUAUAUAUAUACCUAAUUAAUCAAUUUAUUAACCUUUAAUAAUAAUCAUCCAAUGUUGGGAUUUAAGCAUGGCAAAUUGAGCGGAAAUGUAUGGCUUUUACCAUGCUUCUCCACUAAGUAAAUAAAUGAUGGUUUAUUUGUCAUUUUAAGGCAUUUGAUUAAUUUUUCAUCCAAUCCUCCAAACCUUGCUAGUGCAUAUUUAGAUCUUAUGCAUCAAUUACUAAUUUAUCAAUUUAAUCCCUUUAAUAAUUCUCGACAAUAUUUCAUAUCUACUUCAUUAACUUCUCGAUUAAUAAUAAAUUUUUGAAACGGCUUGAUCGAGAAAUCGAAUUAUUCCUAUCACAGCGAAAAAUAGAUCAUCAAACUAUUUUAAUUUGAUUUAUUAAUGUCUUUUCCAAAUUCGUAUUUAAUUAAUAAAUAUUCCACAAUAACCUUCAUUAAUUGAUAAUUUUUCCUUGUAUUAUAGGAGAUUUAUAAAUAUUCAUAUUGUAGCAUAAGUAAACUCAAUUUAAAGUGCACAAGGAAAUAGUCAAAUAUCUCAAACUUCAAGAGCCUUUAAUUAAGCCACAAUGUGUUCGCACACUCUAUUAACACUAGUGAAUUUCAUUAAUUAUAAUUUGAUCAUUAGAGUACUAGCUAAAAUUUUAUCCCAAGAUUCAAAUUGUCUUUCAAUAAAUCCUCGACAAUUUUGUGGUCUCUAACUCAAAAUUUUUUUACUUUUGUGAUAUUCGUAAAGAACAACUUCAGCAAGUAAUUCAUCUUUAUGAAUAGUCAUCACUAAUUAAAUCAUGCAUAUUAAAUUUGAUAUCAGAAAAGCUUACAAGUCGCAUCAUAAAUACAUAAUUGUGAUAUAUUUGAAUGGUUUUCCACCUCAGCAUAGGCUUAUUUUAGAGUAAAUUUGUAUGCAUUUUAGGGAAAAAUACCAAAAAAACCAAUUUUUUUUUAAAUUUACCGAAAUGGGCUCAGUAUUUUAUUAUUUACCGGAAUGGGCAUUUUCCCCGAAACCGCGUCCACGUCAGCACGAUGUCAAGGUACGUGCCAGGAAAUCGCGGCCACGUCAGCGCGCUUUGCUGACAUGGCAACAAAUCGCGUCCUCUAAAGCGCGAUUUGUGUCCACGUCAGCAAAACGCUCUGACGUGGACGCGAUUUCCUGGCACGUACCCUGACAUCGUGCUGAUGUGGAUGCAAUUUCGCCGUGUCUCCCACGUUAGGGUUUUUAGGGGUUUUAGGGCUUUUGGAGAAAAAAGUAAACAAAUAAGGGAUUAGGGUUAAGGGUUUCGUAAUUAAAUUAAUUAAAUUUUAUUCAAAAUUGGAUUACGUUUCGUGUUUAUGGGUUUUUAAGAUAAAAUCAAAGCAGGAUGAUUUAUCAGAAGGAUUUUUGAAGUCGCACCCACGUGUACGCGCUUUUGCUACAGUAGGUCUUGGGAAAAUAAUUUCGACUUGAUGUUUUUGAGCAAAUAGUUUAAAAAACAUUUCAAGCAGAAUGCUUUGUGAGAAGAAUUUGUGAAAUCGCGCCGUCGUGGACGCGCUUUUACUACAGUUGGUCCUAAAAGAAAUAAUUUCGAGUUGAUGUUUUUGAGCAAAUAGUUUAAAAAACGCUUCAAACAGGAUGCUUUAUAAUAAGAAUUUGUGAAGUCGUGCCCACGUGGAUGCGCUUUUGCUACAGUAGGUCCUAAAAAAAUAAUUUUGAGUUAACGUUUCUGAGCAAAUAAUAUAAAACAACGCUGCAAGUAGCAUGCUAUUUGAGAAGAAUUUGUGAAAUUGUGCCCUCGUGAACGUGCUUUUGCUACAGUUGGUCCUGGAAAAAUAAUUUUGACUUGACGUUUCUGAGCAAAUAGUAUAAAAUCGAUUCUAGAAGGAUGCUUUAUGAGAAGAAUUUGUGAAAUCACGCCCACGUGGACGCGCUUUUGCUACAGUAACAUGUUUGGGCUGAGGCUAUAAAUGAGGCAAAAAAUGUUCUGAGAUUGCAUAAGUCACAGCAAAAACAAUUUAGAGAGGCUAAGAAGGUUAGAGUUUCAAAUAUGAGUGAACGUAUUAGUGCUGUUAUUUACUACAGUGGUGAGGUUUGCCACACUGAGAAUGGUGUUGUUUUUUUGUCGAAGAAUACGGUGCGACUGGUUUUUAACCAAAACAUAGAUUUGACAGAACUUCGUAAAAGAAUUAGGCGUAAAAUUUUCGAAACGACGCCAAUGAAAGUUCUGUCUAUUACAUAUCGAUUUUGUUCCUCUGUUGAUCCGGUGACAUAUGACUCGUUCGACAUAAAAGGUGAUCGUAGCUUGGAGGCAAUUGUGCAGACUCAUCUUGCUAGUCGAGCACAUUAUAUUGAGUUAUAUGUACAAUUUACAUUGCCAAAUGAUGUACUUGCGACCAGUGUUCGAGAUGUAUACACGACCCCUGGCCAACAUUCGGUUAGCGGGUUAGAAAACACGAAACAGCCCAUGUUUGGUAGUGGUGUUGAAUGCACAUCCCCCGCAGGACCUCUGUCGGUGGAUGGGACAUGUACGUCGGUGGUUCGAUGUUUGAUGCUGGAAAUACGUACUGGGGAACGUCAUCAAGUUCUAGUGAUUAACAAUCUACAUCCAAUUGGGGACGUUAUGAAAUGCCCAGAAAAAAGGAUGAUGUACUCCCUACGACGUCAAUUGGUGAGGGGACCUCAUACGCUGCAGAUGAUUAUGGGUUAGAAGAUGACUCCGAUGUGGAUCUACCUCGAGAGCUCGGGCCUGAUGGUGUAGAAGUUGGCUUAUUUUCUGAACCGGAGUCUAUUCCAACAAAACUUGAAGAUGCUGAAAGGAGUUCAGAUGAAGAAGAAAAUCCACGAUUCAGAGCAUACUCACCUUCAGCCCACAUGCAUAAUGUCGAUCUGUCUGCAGAUGAUACAUUAGAGUUUCCAGAUCUACCACACUGGUUGCGUGAUCGUACCAGUUCAGGGCUAGAUUCAGGUGAAUUUUAAGUUGGUAAUCAGUUUACCAACAAGGAUAGUUUUAUUGGUGUUUUGAAACAACAUAGCAUCAAAAAAUGCGUUAACUACCACGUCGUUAAAUCCAAAUCUGAUAAGUUUGAAGCGAAAUGUACGGUGCAAUAUGGCACAUGUUCAUGGAAAAUCUACGCUUCGUUAAGGAAAAAGACAGGGUUGUGGGAGAUUAAAAAGUACAAAGGUCCACAUACAUGUGCUGCAGGUACAAUAUUGACGGUAUCUGAAUAAUACUUUUAUUAUGUAAUGUUGCAUUAUUUAAUGUAAUCCGUUUAUAGGUGUUUCACAAAAUCAUCCGAAGAUGGAUUCAGCUAUGUUAGCUAGCUUGAUACUGCCCACGGUAAAAGCAGAUUCCAGGAUUUUAGUACCGGUGUUAAUUGCCAAUAUUCGUAGCCAAAUGGGGUACACGCCCUCUUACCGUAAGGCUUGGAUAGCUAAGAAAAAGGCGUUGAAGAAGAUGCAUAGUUGGUGAGACGCCUCAUAUACUGAAAUAUGACAGUGGUGUCAAGUGCUAGAGAGAUACGUCCAAGGUGCCUCACAGACCUUGAAACGGAACAUGCGUACUACAACGGCCAAUUGCUACGUGGAUGCCAAGUGUUCAAACGUCUGUUUUGGACCUUUAAGUAAUGCCAAGACGCAUUUCCAAGCUGCAAGACAUUGGUACAAAUUGACAGUACCUUUAUGUUUGGUAGGUAUACUCAUCGGCUAUUGCUUGCAGUGGUACAGGAUAGCGGUGGGAGAAUUCUUCCAAUUGCAUUUGCAAUAACACCGGGGGAGUCGUCUGAUGACUAGGAUUUCUUUCUCUCUAGGUUAAGGAGGCAUGUGUGCCUCCAACCUGAUAUCUGUGUUAUUUCAGAUCGGGGCACCGGUAUACUAGUUGCAUUUGAUCGACAGGGAAGCUUAUGGCAGUGCACACACCAUCGAUAUUGCGUAAGACACGUUGCUUCCAACUACUACAGGCAAUACCCAUCUAAGAGCGAACGACGACAAGUGACCAACAUGGGUAUUUAGUCUAUAUCUGUGUUAUUUCGUUUCUCAAUUUGAAUUAGUUUUAUUAGUAGAAGUUGUAUGUAAUAUUCGCUAUGAACUUAUAUUGGCAGGGUAUGAAAUAAAUAAAUAUCGUUUCCACGAGAUGUUGGCAACUUUACGUUCAAUUAACGGAGAAGGGGCAGACUACCUUUGUAACAUACGUUUCGAACAGUAGGCACAAGCAUACGACGGCGGCCUACGAUAUGGCCAUAUGACGUCAAACCUGGCUGAAUGCAUAAAUUCUAUUCUUAAAGGAACAUAUUUUCGUUCAGCGACGCUAUUUCCAAAGCGAGCAGCAAGUUAUGCAGGCCAGAUGCAGGGAGGACAUGUAUGGUGCAGUAAGGUAGUUUAAGAAAUUAACAAGGCCAAGGCGCAGGCAAACACCAUGCACACAGUGUGUCACGAUCGAGACAACUUAUGGUUUCACGUGACAGAGUUUGACAGACCGCACCAAGGUGUUGUUGGCGGACAAUAUCGUGUACACUUGCGAAAUAGGACUUACAACUGUGGGAUGUUUGAUGCACUUCGUUAUCCAUGCGCUCAUGUUAUUGCAGCUUGUCAGAAUCUCCGUCUAGAUCCGAUAAAUUGUGUGGACGAAGUGUACAAAUUAGAAAACAUGUACAACGUCUGGAGACUCGUUUUUCCACUGGUCCCAGAUGAACGUAAGUGGCCCCCCGUAUCUCUUUCUCAUUUUAAGCUGUUACCGGAUAGAGAAUUACGUCGUAAACCAGAGGGUCGACCUUGCUCGACUAGAAUACAUAACAAUAUGGAUAUCCGAGAAACAGUCAAUCAACAUAAGUUGUGCAGAUGGUGUAGGAAUCCAGGCCAUACAAGUCGAUCAUGCCCUAAUCGCAAUAGUUGAAUGUAAUUUUUUUAAAAAAAAUUAUAUUUUUUCAAUUAUUAACUGAUAAUUGUAUUAAUUGUUAGUAAAAUUAUCAAAUUAUAUCAAAUAAUUAAUUGUUAGUAUCAGUCAAAACAUUUUUUCAAAUCUAACAUUAUGUGAAUAUAAAAUUAUUAACUGAUAAUUGUAUUAAUAUUAGUAAAAUUAUCAAAUUAUAUUUAAGUUAAGGGUUAGGGUUUUUAAGUUAAGGGUUAAGGGUUAAGGAUUUUAAAGUUAAGGGUCUAGGGUUUUAAAGUUAAGGGUUUAGGGUUUUUAGGUUAAGGGUUAGGGUUUUUAGGUUUAGGGUUUAUGGUUUUUAAUUUAAGGGUUAUGGUUUUUAAGUUAAAGGUCUAGGGUUUUAAAGUUAAGGGUCUAUGGUUUUAAAGUUAAGGGUUAGGGUUUUUAGGUUAAGGGUUUAGGGUUUUUAAGUUAAGGGUUAGGGUUUUUAAGUUAAGGGUUUAUGGUUUUAAAGUUAAGGGUCUAUGGUUUUAAAGUUAAGGUUUAAGGUUUUUAGGUUAAGGGUUAUGGUUUUUAGGUUAAGGUUUAGGGUUUUUAAUUUAAGGGUUAGGGUUUUUAAGUUAAAGUUUAGGGUUUUCAGGUUAAGGGUUAGGGUUUUUAGGUUAAGGUUUAGGGUUUAGGGUUUUUAAUUUAAUGAUUAUGAUUUUUAAGUUAAGCGUUUAGGGUUUUUAAGUUAAGGGUCUAAGGUUUUAAAGUUAAGGUUUAGGGUUUUCAGGUUAAGGGUUAGGGUUUUUAGGUUAAAUGUUUAGGGUUUUAAUUUAAGGGUUAAGGUUUUUAAGUUAAGGGUUUAGGGUUUUUAAGUUAAGGGUCUAUGGUUUUAAAGUUAAGGUUUAUGGUUUUUAGGUUAAGGGUUAGGGUUUUUAGGUUAAGGGUUUAAGGUUUUUAAGUUAAGGGUUUAGGGUUUAAAAGUUAAGGUUUAGGGUUUUUGGGUUAAGAGUUAGGGUUUUAGGUUAAGGGUUUAGGGUUUUUAAUUUAAGGGUUAGGGUUUUUAAGUUAAGGGUUUAUGGUUUCUAAGUUAAGGGUCUAUGGUUUAAAAGUUAAAGUUUAGGGUUUUUAGGUUAAGGGUUAGGGUUUUAUGUUAAAGAUUUAGGGUUUUAAAUUUAAGGAUUAGUGUUUUUAAGUUAAGGGUUUAGGGUUUUAAGUUAAGGGUCUAAGGUUUUAAACUUAAGGGUUAUGGUUUUUAGGUUUAGGGGUUAUGGUUUUUAAUUUAAGGGUUUAUGGUUUUUAAUUUAAGGGUUUAGGGUUUUUAAUUUAAAAGUUUAGGGUUUUUUAAGUUAAGGGUUUAAGGUUUUAAGGUUAAGGGUUAAGGUUUUUAGGUUAAGGGGUUAGGGUUUUAAAGUUAAUGGUUAGGGUUUUUAGGUUAAUGGUUUAGGGUUUUAAAGUUAAAGGUUAAUGAGUUAGGGUUUUUUGGUUAAGGGUUUAAGGUUUGUUAAUUAAAUUAUGCAUUUAAUUAUAAAUUAUAAAUUUAUAAAUUUUUAAUAAGUUAAGCGUUUAGGGUUUUUAAGUAGUAACUCAAAAAAAUUUCUAUUUUUAUUACAUCAAAAAAUAUCAAAAUAUUCAAAAUAUUUGUACAAAUAAAUUUAAAUACAAAAAUCAAUGUCUAUGCCCGCGGGAUUCAGUGCCACAUGGCAGCCGUCGACAGUUACGCGCUGGAUUCCUCCUUGUCCAGCUUUUGGCGGCGAUUAUAGUUCUUCCGGCGGCGGUUGUGGUUCUUCCGGCGGGGAUUCUGGUUCUUCCAGUAGGGCAUCUGGUUGUCGGAGUUGUGACGAUGAGCCACCUUGAUAGAAUUGUGAAUGUGGAGGUGUUUGCAUCACCAACGGCAACGGUGUUUGAAACCCAUACGGUGGUGGGGAUUGGUAAAAAGAAGAGCUCCCCGACGGCCCCUCUUGCGAUCCCUCGUGCGUCGCUGGCCUAUACAUCGGCGGUCGACUCGGCGUAACAGAAAUAGAGCUGAACCGGGCCAUUGGCUCCAACCUGCCAUAGGACUCGAAAAAGGAAACAUAUAAGGGUUAGGAUACAUAAAAGGGCUAGGAAACGCACCUGGCAUCAUCUGAAAAGGCGGUUGCGUGGGUAUCAUUGGUUGAACUGCUGGGUCGGGUGAAUGUCUGGGAGUCGUUGAAGGGCCAGCGUCGUCGUCCUGUCGUCUUGGAUUUAAAGGAUCGCGUCUUUCCCUUUGGACACGUAAUUGCCGCUGCCUCUCCUCUAGCGAUAGUAAAUACGGCUUGCCAUGGAUCCUAAACCAUGGCAUGCAUUCCGGCAUGCACGCUAACUCCGGAACGAUGAUCGGUUCCAUACUAGGUAUAUAGUCAUACCGAUCUUCCCACAUUUGGAUGUACUUGAACCAGAAUCUCGGCCAAUCCGUAUUCAAUUACCGAAGGUCGAUUUUGUGGUGAUCGUCAAACAUCUCAAGUUCCAUGGAAAUCGGUUGUCUACAUCCAAAUUGCCAUAACACCCUGUCUGACUGGUGCAUCUCCACGGUCGCGUAGUUGAUCAACGCGACUUUCGCCUGCCAAGCGUUUGGAUUUUGUAAGAACUCUUUCGGAAUUACUGCCCAAAUUGCCGGAUCCUCAUAUGGUGUCCAUUGAAACUAUAUGAAAAUGAUAGAAAUAUUAAUUAUAUACAUAAUACUAAAUACUAAAUACCAAUCGACUAGCGAAUGAUGGAAAUAUCAAUUUUAUUUAAUACUUACAUGUGCUUCCGACUAUUGGUCUAAUAGAAGCCGUAUAUCUUCAAGAGAGGUAGGUAAUCGAGCAUGACUUGCCGGAUGGUUCCACCUAAUUAAAUAAAUUUUUAGCAUACUUUUAUUUUUAAAAAUCUACAUAAUAAUUGUAAAAUCUAAUAUAAAAUUUACCUCGUUAUCAGUGGGAAUGUAUAUGGGUGGUCCACUCGAGGAUGUAGAAAUGAAAAGCGAAACCGUGCCCAUGAUUGCAGUAGGGACAGGCAACCUCCGAUUUUUGCUUUCCUCGGUCGCAUCGCCCCGUACAUCUCCUUAUAUAACGUUGUCAAGACGGCAGACCCCCAACUUAAUUCACCAGCUGCUCUAAAAUCAACGAGUUGCAGCAGCCAUCUUAGAUGUACGCGGCUCCGUGACAAGUCAGGCAUCAGAUAACCUCCAAUUAACUGAAGAAUGCAUGCCCGAGCAUAUCGGAUUCUUUCUAUUUCGGUUGAAUCUUCAUCCGGAUCCGGGAAUGUGUCUCGAAACCAGCCCAUCUCGAUCUUACCUCCCUCCAUUUUCUCCAGAAUAGCGCCCAAAAGCUCGUAGCACACCGCAAGCCAAUCGCUAGAUUGGGUAGACCCGGUGACUGGGUACCCGUCCACCGGCAAUCCCAAUUGUAGACUGACAUCUUCCAAAGUGAUAGUGCACUCUCUACAUCUUAAAUAAUAUUUAAAAAUUAAAUUUAACGCUUACCAUUUUCAUUUGUUCCACCGAUAUGUGAUGCUUAUCAAGACGAGUCAAUUCUUCGGCCAUUGCUGAAAUCGUACAAAUUUUUAAUGUUUAAAAAAAUUUUAAAAAAGUAAAAUUAUUUAAAAAAAGAGAUUUAAAAGAAAUUUAAGAGGAACUUGGGAGUAAAUUGAAAAUAAAUAUGAAUUUGAGAGAAAUUUUAAAGGAAUUUGAAAGCAAAAGAGUGGGGGUAUUUAUAGUUUUUUUUUUACCGUUCGGGGGGGCAAUGGUCAAUUUUUUGACCGUUGCACUGUUCACGUACGGGGCAAAUCGCAACCACGUCAGCGCGAUUUGCUGACGUGGACACAAAUCGCAUCCUCUGAAGCAGAAUUUGUUGCCACGUCAACGCGCUAUUUGCUGGCACAUACCCUGACAUCGCGCUGACGUGGACGCAAUUUCGAGAAAAAAUGGCCAUUUCGGUAAAUAAUAAAAUACCGGGCCCAUUUCGAUAAAUUUAAAAAAAAAUAGACUUUUUUUAGUAAAUUGCCCUACGUUUUAGUCUUGUUACAAUAUCCAAGUCUAAUGCCAAUAUUGAAGUAUACCGUAAUAGUAAUUAUUCUCUCUAUCUAGUACUCGAAACUGGUUUUAAAUAUCUUCCAUUCACUCGACAAAUAGUUAUGGUCUAAAUAAAUUUCUGGAAUUCAUGGCUGCCUACUUGCGAGAGGAUUAAUGAAAUAUGCGAUGCAAGUUGAUGAAAUCUUAUUAUUUGUAAUAUAAAAAACAAAACCCAUGCAUCCUUAAUAACAUAAAAAAAACACAUUCCAUAAUCAACAUCUGAGAAUUUAAAACUUAAUUGUAAUGUUGGCUGAACAAGACUCAAAAAGGGGAGAAAAGAAAAAUAAGUCCGAACCUGAAAAAAGUGACCGUAUAAAAAACCCUGACAGGCAGAACAGUAGCAAGCAACAUAAAACCAAGACAUAUUAUCACUUAAAGCACUUGGCAUCCAAGAGAGGCUCUCCCUCAAAUGGCUCGCAGUCUUCAAUCAUCUGAUUCACCCGUUCCUUCUGGGCUGCAUCUGACAGGUCAACCUUCUUCCACUCGUAGAGUUCCAUGUCAUAGCACUCGUCAAUCACAAAUUGAGGAAUCUCUUGCCCACGGAAAAGCCAUAGUCCUUUCACCUUGAAUGGAGGGUUAGCACCGAUCACCAACAUCUUCCCAAAUGCAUACUUGCGGGCCAAAUCCAUUCUCUGCAGGAAUCCUCCAACCUUGUUCAUUGUGACAAAUGAAACUGUAUUCUCCUCAUUGUACUUGUAGUCACAAAACCACAGUGAGUAUCCCUCGGGAUCAUACAUGUCCCAGAAUCCUGACACGAAUCAAGUAUCAGAUAUCACAAGCCCAAACAUUGCUUUUAAAAGGGAGUGCUACUGUGAAAACAACAGGGAUACCUUUAAUUGCAACCUCUCGGAAAUUGGUCUUUGUGUUAGAGUAAAGCCUCUUCCAGUCAUCCAGUACCAUCUUACUUGGAGGCAGCAAAUCAAGAGGAUUCUUUGGUUUGGGCUUUGGUGCCUCCUCCUCAGCUGCCUCUGCCUUUGCUGCCUGUUUCUCAACCUCCUUUUUGGCUUCUUUCUUUGGUUCAGCCUUUGGUUUAGUUUCUUUUGGCUGGGCAGCAGGCUUCUUUGAAGGAACAGGUGGUAGAGAGACUGCCUGCUUCACUUCACCAAGAAUCUUCUUGAUUUUUGGUUGAUUAACCAAGGUCCAAAAGUACCUCUCAACAUGAGGGAACUCCGAGGUAAAACUCUUAGUCAUGAUCUGGGAGAAACCCAAGUAGAGGUUACAUGUCAUGAUAAUGUCAGCAAGGGUGACAAAAUGUCCAACAAGAAAUGUGUUGGAAGCAAGAUGAGUGUUCAAAGCGCCAAGGGCUCUCUUCAAUGCAGCAAUAGCAGCUUCCUCAGCCUACAUGCAAAAUACAUAUAAGAGAUUAAAAUGAAAUAGGUAGGCAAAAUCAUACCAUUGAAUUAAAAUGAACUACUACUGAAUUACAAAAAUAAAAUUUAACUCUUAAUAUAGAUUAAUAAAUACAUCAGAAUGGGGGAGAAAACAACCUAGUCUCUUAAAAAAAUAAUGAGGAGAAAACCCAUGCCUACUUGAUUAUCAAUGCAAUGGGCAUUCCCUUCAACCAAAAUUACUUAAUAGUGCUUGAGUUGAUUCCUUUCCAGAAACUAUGCAGGGGAAAACACUACCACAUUAAGCAUGUACUAAAUGUUGUCUAACUAAUCCUCUCUAAAAUAAAUAAAACAAGAAUCAUAGACAGGUAAUCAAUGCCAAUUUUCC
RNAcentral lists this long non-coding RNA (42992 nucleotides) under Gossypium barbadense (sea-island cotton). RNAcentral's name for it is "long non-coding RNA (GBAR_LNC021482)". The stretch from base 33435 to 33521 matches the Rfam family "MIR7486 microRNA precursor family". Lineage: Eukaryota; Viridiplantae; Streptophyta; Magnoliopsida; Malvales; Malvaceae. The record is from RNAcentral.